CGGAGGAUCCAAGCGUUAUCCGGAAUCAUUGGGUUUAAAGGGUCCGUAGGCGGUCCUGUAAGCCAGUGGUGAAAGCCCAUCGCUCAACGGUGGAACGGCCAUUGAUACUGCAGGACUUGAAUUACUGGGAAGCAACUAGAAUAUGUAGUGUAGCGGUGAAAUGCUUAGAGAUUACAUGGAAUACCAAUUGCGAAGGCAGGUUGCUACCGGUGGAUUGACGCUGAUGGACGAAAGCGUGGGUAGCGAACAGGAUUAGAUACCCUGGUAGUCCACGCCGUAAACGAUGGAUACUAGCUGUUGGGAGCGAUCUCAGUGGCUAAGCGAAAGUGAUAAGUAUCCCACCUGGGGAGUACGAACGCAAGUUUG
Molecule: ribosomal RNA, 366 nt
Filed under: uncultured organism
Description: bacterial SSU rRNA
Rfam family: Bacterial small subunit ribosomal RNA
Source: RNAcentral